UACGGAGGGUGCAAGCGUUGUCCGGAAUCAUUGGGCGUAAAGAGUUCGUAGGCGGUAUGUAAAGUCUGGUGUUAAAUCCUGAGGCUUAACUUCAGUUCGGCACUGGAUACUUGCAAACUAGAAUGCGGUAGAGGUAAAGGGAAUUCCUGGUGUAGCGGUGAAAUGCGUAGAUAUCAGGAGGAACAUCGGUGGCGUAAGCGCUUUACUGGGCCGUUAUUGACGCUGAGGAACGAAAGCCGGGGUAGCAAAU
This 250-nucleotide ribosomal RNA is filed under the name uncultured prokaryote. Its description in RNAcentral is "partial 16S ribosomal RNA". It matches the Rfam family "Bacterial small subunit ribosomal RNA", at positions 524 to 773 of the family's 1533-position model. The record is from RNAcentral.